This 449-nucleotide ribosomal RNA is filed under the name uncultured bacterium. RNAcentral describes it as "partial 16S ribosomal RNA". It matches the Rfam family "Bacterial small subunit ribosomal RNA", at positions 29 to 523 of the family's 1533-position model. The record is from RNAcentral.
AGCGAACGCUGGCGGCAGGCUUAACACAUGCAAGUCGAACGGGCGUGGCAAUACGUCAGUGGCAGACGGGUGAGUAACACGUGGGAACGUACCUCUUGGUUCGGAACAACACAGGGAAACUUGUGCUAAUACCGGAUAAGCCCUUACGGGGAAAGAUUUAUCGCCGAGAGAUCGGCCCGCGUCUGAUUAGCUAGUUGGUAGGGUAAUGGCCUACCAAGGCGACGAUCAGUAGCUGGUCUGAGAGGAUGAUCAGCCACAUUGGGACUGAGACACGGCCCAAACUCCUACGGGAGGCAGCAGUGGGGAAUAUUGGACAAUGGGGGCAACCCUGAUCCAGCCAUGCCGCGAGUGAUGAAGGCCCUAGGGUUGUAAAGCUCUUUUGUGCGGGAAGAUAAUGACGGUACCGUAAGAAUAAGCCCCGGCUAACUUCGUGCCAGCCGCCGCAGUAA